UGGUGGAGUGAUUUGUCUGGUUAAUUCCGUUAACGAACGAGACCUUAGCCUACUAACUAGUCGAUUUCAGUCUCGACUGACUUCCGACUUCUUAGAGGGACUUUGUGGAAAAAACACAAGGAAGUUUGAGGCAAUAACA
Molecule: ribosomal RNA, 139 nt
Filed under: uncultured eukaryote
Lineage: Eukaryota
Description: partial 18S ribosomal RNA
Rfam family: Eukaryotic small subunit ribosomal RNA
Source: RNAcentral